Molecule: non-coding RNA, 21 nt
Filed under: Arabidopsis thaliana (thale cress)
Lineage: Eukaryota; Viridiplantae; Streptophyta; Magnoliopsida; Brassicales; Brassicaceae
Source: RNAcentral
UGGGAGAGCCUGCGUCAUUAU